Molecule: ribosomal RNA, 422 nt
Filed under: uncultured bacterium
Lineage: Bacteria
Description: partial 16S ribosomal RNA
Rfam family: Bacterial small subunit ribosomal RNA
Source: RNAcentral
AAUUUUGGACAAUGGGGGAGACCCUGAUCCAGCCAUCAUGCGUGUAUGAUGAAGGCCUUCGGGUUGUAAAGUACUUUUGGCAGCGCAAAUAAGGUAUCUCCUAAUACGAGAUACUGCUGAUGGUAGCUGCAGAAUAAGCACCGGCGAACUACGUGCCAGCAGCAGCGGGAAUUCGUAGGGUGCUAGCGUUAAUCGUAAUUACUGGGCGUAAAACGUGGCGAGGUGGUUCAGAAAAAAAAGUGUGAAAACCCAGGGCUCAACCUUGGAACUGCCUUUUUAACUGCCGAGCUAGAGUAUGUCAGAGGGGGGUAGCAUUCAACGUGUAGCAGUGAAAUGCGUAGAUAUGUGGAGGAAUACCGAUGGCGAAGGCAGCCCCCUGGGAUAAUACUGACGCUCAGACACGAAAGCGUGGGGAGCGAACA